Molecule: ribosomal RNA, 253 nt
Filed under: uncultured bacterium
Lineage: Bacteria
Description: partial 16S ribosomal RNA
Rfam family: Bacterial small subunit ribosomal RNA
Source: RNAcentral
UACGUAGGGGGCAAGCGUUGUCCGGAUUUACUGGGCGUAAAGAGCGUGUAGGCGGCCAAACAGGUCCGUUGUGAAAACUGGAGGCUUAACCUCCAGACGUCGACGGAAACCGUAUGGCUAGAGUCCGGAAGAGGAGAGUGGAAUUGACGGUGUAGCGGUGAAAUGCUUAGAUAUCGUCAAGAACACCUAUAGCGAAGGCAGCUUACUAGGCUGUAACUGACGCUGAGGCACGAAAGUGUGGGGAUCAAACAGG